Molecule: non-coding RNA, 165 nt
Organism: Desulfovibrio sp. S3730MH75
Lineage: Bacteria; Pseudomonadati; Thermodesulfobacteriota; Desulfovibrionia; Desulfovibrionales; Desulfovibrionaceae
Source: Rfam
GCUCCCGUGAGGAACCGUCUGAAGGAAGCCGGAGUGCAAAACUAUGAGCCGACGAACAGAAAUGGCAUACAAGGCCCAGUCUCCGGGUAAGUCAGCACAACAUGACAAAGCCCUGGGUUUAGGAGAUAGGGUAAAUGCCGCGGUUGUGUAGUGACAGAUCACGUU